Molecule: ribosomal RNA, 96 nt
Filed under: Caerostris darwini
Lineage: Eukaryota; Metazoa; Arthropoda; Arachnida; Araneae; Araneidae
Source: RNAcentral
AUACCAUGCUAAUAUACCGGUUCUCAUUCGAUCACCGAAGUGAAGCAUCAUCGGGCGCUGUGAGUACUUGGGAAGGUGACCACCUGGGAACACCGC